RNAcentral lists this ribosomal RNA (249 nucleotides) under uncultured bacterium. RNAcentral's name for it is "partial 16S ribosomal RNA". It matches the Rfam family "Bacterial small subunit ribosomal RNA", at positions 337 to 578 of the family's 1533-position model. The record is from RNAcentral.
UCCUACGGGACGCAGCAGUAGGGGAUCUUCCACAAUGGACGAAAGUCUGAUGGAGCAACGCCGCGUGAGUGAAGAAGGGUUUCGGCUCGUAAAGCUCUGAUGGUAGUGAAGGAAGAUAGAGGUAGUAACUGGCCUUUAUUUGACGGUAAUUACUUAGAAAGUCACGGCUAACUACGUGCCAGCAGCCGCGGUAAUACGUAGGUGGCAAGCGUUGUCCGGAUUUUUUUGGCGUAAACCGAGUGCCGGCGG